This 492-nucleotide ribosomal RNA is filed under the name uncultured bacterium. Its description in RNAcentral is "partial 16S ribosomal RNA". It matches the Rfam family "Bacterial small subunit ribosomal RNA", at positions 30 to 507 of the family's 1533-position model. The record is from RNAcentral.
AUUGAACGCUGGCGGUAGGCCUAACACAUGCAAGUCGAACGGCAGCACAGUAAUAGCUUGCUCUUACGGUUGGCGAGUGGCGAACGGGUGAGGAAUACAUCGGAAUCUACUUUUUCGUAGGGGAUAACGUAGGGAAACUUACGCUAAUACCGCAUACGACCUACUGGUGAAAUCAGGGGAUCUUCGGACCUUGCGCGAUUGAAUGAGCCGAUGUCGGAUUAGCUAGUUGGCGUGGUAAAGGCCCACCAAGGCGACGAUCCGUAGCUGGUCUGAGAGGAUGAUCAGCCACAGUGGAACUGAGACACGGUUCAGACUCCUACGGGAGGCAGCAGUGGGGAAUAUUGAACAAUGGGCGAAAGCCUGAUACAGCCAUACCGCGUGGGUGAAGAAGGCCUUCGGGUUGUAAAGCCCUUUUGUUGGGAAAGAAAAGCAGCAGGUUAAUACCCCGCUGUGCUGACGGUACCCAAAGAAUAAGCACCGGCUAACUUCGUG